RNAcentral lists this RNase P RNA (375 nucleotides) under Salmonella enterica subsp. enterica serovar Panama. RNAcentral describes it as "RNase P RNA component class A". It matches the Rfam family "Bacterial RNase P class A". From Rfam's summary of the family: Ribonuclease P (RNase P) is a ubiquitous endoribonuclease, found in archaea, bacteria and eukarya as well as chloroplasts and mitochondria. Its best characterised activity is the generation of mature 5'-ends of tRNAs by cleaving the 5'-leader elements of precursor-tRNAs. Lineage: Bacteria; Pseudomonadati; Pseudomonadota; Gammaproteobacteria; Enterobacterales; Enterobacteriaceae. RNAcentral also lists the same sequence under 1 other name. The record is from RNAcentral.
GAAGCUGACCAGACAGUCGCCGCUUCGUCGUCGUCCUUUCGGGGAGACGGGCGGAGGGGAGGAAAGUCCGGGCUCCAUAGGGCAGGGUGCCAGGUAACGCCUGGGGGGGAAACCCACGACCAGUGCAACAGAGAGCAGACCGCCGAUGGCCCACGUAAGUGGGAUCAGGUAAGGGUGAAAGGGUGCGGUAAGAGCGCACCGCGCGGCUGGUAACAGUCCGUGGCACGGUAAACUCCACCCGGAGCAAGGCCAAAUAGGGGUUCAUAAGGUACGGCCCGUACUGAACCUGGGUAGGCUGCUUGAGCCAGUGAGCGAUUGCUGGCCUAGAUGAAUGACUGUCCACGACAGAACCCGGCUUAUCGGUCAGUUUCACCU